This 300-nucleotide long non-coding RNA is filed under the name Musa acuminata (dwarf banana). RNAcentral's name for it is "long non-coding RNA (MACU_LNC006532)". The record is from RNAcentral. Lineage: Eukaryota; Viridiplantae; Streptophyta; Magnoliopsida; Zingiberales; Musaceae.
CUGAGUCACCAUGGUUGGAUGUAUCCAAUGAGGUGGCUACUCAUAAAGUUGAUGAUGCCAACCUAAUCGGUCAUAUACCCGAAUCGCCAUGGAUGGAGGUGUCUAAAGACACAUGGAGUCAAGCAUCUGCUCGUGAGGGAUCUGCUCAUGACUUCAGCGAGGAACCCCAUAUCCCAGAAACUCCAUGGAGUCAAGUGCUCGCUCGUGACUUCAGCAAAAAACCCCACAUCCCAGAAACUCCAUGGGGCAACAUGGCCUAGGAAGAACCCUAAGACUUCGAUGUGAAGCCUUGCAUUCCCG